Molecule: ribosomal RNA, 1459 nt
Filed under: uncultured Bordetella sp.
Lineage: Bacteria; Pseudomonadati; Pseudomonadota; Betaproteobacteria; Burkholderiales; Alcaligenaceae
Description: partial 16S-23S ribosomal RNA intergenic spacer
Rfam family: Bacterial small subunit ribosomal RNA
Source: RNAcentral
CCUGGCUCAGAUUGAACGCUGGCGGGAUGCUUUACACAUGCAAGCCGAACGGCAGCACGGACUUCGGUCUGGUGGCGAGUGGCGAACGGUGAGGACGUAUCGGAACGUGCCUAGUAGCGGGGGAUAACGCUGCUGGAAAAGCGGUGGAAGCUAAUACCUGCAUGGCCUCUGGGAAAGCGGGGACCUUCGGGCCUCGCACUAUUAGAGCGGCCGAUAUCGGAUUAGCUAGUUGGUGGGGUAACGGCUCACCAAGGCGACGAUCCGUAGCUGGUUUGAGAGGACGACCAGUCACACCUGGACUGAGACACGGCCCAGACUCCUACGGGAGGCAGGGAAUUUUGGACAAUGGGGGAAACCCCUGAUCCAGCCAUCCCGCGUGUGCGAUGAAGGCCUUCGGGUUGUGCAGCCACUUUUGGCAGGAAAGAAACGGCACGGGAUAAUACCUCGUGCAACUGACGGUACCUGCAGAAUAAGCACCGGAUAACUGCUGUGCCAGCAGCCGCGGUAAUACGUAGGGUGCAAGCGUUAAUCGGAAUUACUUCGGGCGCGCAAAGCGCGCAGGCGGUUCGGAAAGAAAGAUGUGAAAUCCCAGAGCUUAACUUUGAACUGCAUUUUUAACUACCGGUUUCCAGAGUGUGUCAGAGGAGGUGGAAUUCCGCGUAGCAGUGAAAUGCGUAGAUAUGCGAGAACACCUGAUGGCGAAGGCAGCUCUCCUGGGAUAACACUGACGUCAUGCACGAAAGCGUGGGAGCAAACAGGAUUAGAUACCCUGGUAGUCCACGCCCCAAACGAUGCUGAAUUAGCUGUUGUAUUUUCGGCCUGCAGAUGGCAGCUUAACUGCGUGAAGUUGACCGCCUGGGGAGUACGGUCGCAAGAUUAAACUCAAAGGACUGAUUUAAGACCCGCAUGGGCGGUGGAUGAUGGGAUUAAUUCGAUGCAACGCGAAAAACCUUACCUACUCCUUGACAUGUCUGGAAUCCCGAAGAGAUUUGGGAGUGUCGCGCGAGAACCGGAACACAGGUGCUGCAUGGCUGUCGUCAGCUCGUGUCGAGAUGUUGGGUUAAGUCCUGCAACGAGCGCAACCCUUUGUCAUUAGCCAUAUUGAGGCGGCACCCUGACGAGACUGCUAAGACAAACUGAGGAAAAGGGAUGACGUCAGUUCUCAUGGCCCUGGCGGUAGGGCUUCACACGUCACACAUUAUCGGGACAGGUCGCCAACCCAGAGGGGGAGCCAAUCCCAGAAACCCGAUCAGUCCGGAUCGCAGCUCGCAACUCGACCGUGCGGUCGGAAUCGCUAGCACUCGCGGAUCAGCAUGUCGCGGUGAAUACGUUCCCGGUCUUGUACACACCGCCCGUCACACCAUGGGAGUGGGUUUUACCAGAAGUAGUUAGCCUAACCGUAAGGAGGGCGAUUACCACGGUAGAUUCAUGACUGGGGUGAAGUCGUAGAAUAAGGUAA